This 518-nucleotide ribosomal RNA is filed under the name uncultured bacterium. Its description in RNAcentral is "bacterial SSU rRNA". It matches the Rfam family "Bacterial small subunit ribosomal RNA", at positions 777 to 1296 of the family's 1533-position model. The record is from RNAcentral.
AAUAGAUACCCAGGUAGUCCACGCCGUAAACGAUGAAUGCUAGCCGUUGGCCGGUUUACCGGUCAGUGGCGCAGCUAACGCUUUAAGCAUUCCGCCUGGGGAGUACGGUCGCAAGAUUAAACUCAAAGGAAUUGACGGGGGCCCGCACAAGCGGUGGAGCAUGUGGUUUAAUUCGACGCAACGCGAAGAACCUUACCGGCUCUUGACAUGUCUCGUAUGGAUUUCAGAGAUGAGAUCCUUCAGUUCGGCUGGCGAGAACACAGGUGCUGCAUGGCUGUCGUCAGCUCGUGUCGUGAGAUGUUGGGUUAAGUCCCGCAACGAGCGCAACCCUGCCCUUAGUUGCCAUCAUUAAGUUGGGCACUCUAAGGGGACUGCCGGUGAUAAGCCGCGAGGAAGUGGGGAUGACGUCAAGUCCUCAUGGCCCUUACGGGCCGGGCCACACACGUGCUACAAUGGUGGUGACAGUGGGAAGCAGUGGAGCAAUCCUGCGCAAAUCUCAAAAAGCCAUCUCAGUUCGG